CCCCCACCGACUACAGGCUGUGCCGGCCGGCCAUGGCAGCUCGUCGGCCAAGCGCCGCACACAGUACCCACCUCACUUUUUCCACUCACAGGGGUUCAUCAAGCUCCUGCUCCUCCGCCAAUCACCAGCACCACACCAGUGCCGACCCCCUCCCCCCCCCCCCGGGGGCCGCUGCUGCUACCACGAUGUAGUGCAAGCUCCAGGACAAGCGGUGUUGGAAUCGGCAGAGGGCGGUGCUGCAACUGUUGUCAUCUAAAGCUGGAAUCAAGAGGUGCGGCUCCUGCAAGCCCCGGGCGCGGUGCUGGAACGACGGCUAUGUCGUGCUACGACGGGCAGACGAGAUGCUAGAACCGGCCUUGGCGGGAGCUACAAUCAGCGGCCUUUUUUGCUACAACCGUUCUUUUGUUUUGCUGGAAUUAGCGACUUUUUUUGCUAGGAUCUGUAAUUUGAGAUGUUUUUUGCUGGAACCAUCUCUAAUUUUUGUUACCACCGUCUAUGAUUUUGCUACCACUGGCCUUUUCGAUUUUUGCUACCGCCCUUCUGUGAUUUGCUGCUGAAACCCAGUUUCAAUUUUUUGCUGCCACCGUCCGUGUUUUUUACUGCCACCGUCUUUGAUUUUUGCCAUCAUCCCAACUUUUGAUUUUUUGCCGGAUCCAUGUUAUUGCUGGAACCAAAGAAUUUGUUUGCUGGAACCAGCAAUUUAUUAUGUUGCAACCAGCUUCCAGAGCCCAACGGCCAGUGGAACCGCUUGGGGCAUAUAUGUUUUGACGGGCCUCCGCUGCAUCUGGCGAGACGGGGAGAGGCCACGGCGAGGCGGUGAGUGGUGAUGGGAGCGACUAGUCGGUGCUGCUACGGCCAGCUAGGCGCCGAGUUCUACAGGGGUCGUGCAUUGGUUUGUGGAGAAAAACGAUGCAUAUCGGGGGUAUAGGAUAAAGUUUGAACGGUUGACAAUAUGCUAAUCCUACGGUGCAGAGCGGACCGGCCAAAAGUUUUGGCCGGUGCGCCGGCGCCUAAUACUCACCUGAGUGAGGGCAUCCACAGUGCUUAGAGGCUGGCUUGCCUCUAAGCUGGGCCCCAUGUCCUGUAGUAAAACUUGGCUCAAAAGUGCGUAGUGUGUAGCACAUAUUCUCAGCCUCUAAGAUGUCCCCACAUAGAGUAAAAUAUUUGAUUCUUCAACCGAUUGUGUCUCAUCUCUUUGCAUGGCCAUCACUCUUUCUAUCCAUGACAUGUGGGGUUAGCUGAUUAUUUUAGUCCAAAGCAAGAACUAGAGGCAGCCUCCAAGCUUGGCAUCGAUGCCAAGGAUUUUGGCUUAGAGGCGCAUGCCCAUAGUGUAUAGCGCCUGCCUCUAAAGGCUUAGAGGCUGCCUUGGAGGCAACAAAACACAACAUUGUGGAUGCUCUAAGAGCUAGUUAGCUAGAAGCAAACAACUACAAUCACCUUUGCAUGUUGAGUUGCAUCGAGCUCACGCCUUCAAGUGUGUGACCCAGCGACCUCCCGCGCAUCUCCACCGGCCACGGCCGCACCCGCCGACUGGUUGCAUGCGCUGUGGUUCCACCUUCUACCAGGGAGCGGGUCGGCCACAGCCUUGGGCGCGCCGGAGGCGGGCGGAGCUAGCCGUGACGGCCCCGUCAACCCAUCGGCCAAGGCGACGGCCCGCGCGGCGCAGCACGACUGAAGCAAGCGGAGGUAGCUUCCAUGGACCCAUAUUGCCUCCAGUCAAGGGCUCAAGGCCAGUGCCCCCACGCGGCGCAGCAUGCCGGAACCUGGCGGCACUAGCCGCGACGGGCCGUCUUUGCCGCCUUCCAAGGCCACGGCCAAGGCGUUGCAGCGCACCGGACGCGUGCAGCGCUAGCCACGACAGCUCCCGUCUGGCCGCCGGCCACGGCGCCGAGCGGCGGACCUCACCUCGCCGGAAUCCUCUUUCACGGAGCUGUAGAACGAGUGGCUAUGGGGUGUCGAAUAGCAGCAGUCCACUGGGAUAAGGCAAGGAAAAAACAUUUUCUGUAUAAAUUAAAAAAGGAAUUGUGGUUGCUUGAGUGGUGGGGUCUGUCAGGACACGUGUUGACUGCUGGUUGGCCCUGCACAUUACUGCGUGCCCGUUCGGCGGCUACGUCGCCGCCCUCCAACGCCCAGCGCGCCGCCGCCUGUAGCCCCUCCCAGCACCCGCGCCCCCACCCACCUCAACCCCCGGAUCGAUCUACCGCUUCCUCGACCUACCUCGGCGCCAAUUGGAUUGCUGCGGCGACGGCCUCGUCGAUCCUCAGCUUCGGCACCUACAUCCUGAAGGGGUACGAUCUCGUGUUUGGUAUGGAUCUGAACGCCCACCCCUUCUCAGAUCUGCCUGCUACGAAUUCCUUAUUUGGGUCGGGAGCAAGCUGUAAUCUCAGUACUUGUACUUGUUCAUCCAUCUAAGUGUUUCAGUUCACCUCUGUACUAGUACUUUCAUCCAUCUGAUUCUUUAACCUCUGAACCUUUCACUCGUACGUUUCCCUGAUUUCUCACCCCGUGGCCACCUUGCUGCUGCUGCUUCACUGACUUAUUGGGAUGGCACAUGAGGCAACAUGCUGCUGCGUUUGGAGAUUUCAUAAAAAAAGACAUUAGCAUGUAGCAAACCAUGAGAGGGUAUUAAUCAAAACGGCCACAACACUAAACAGAUGGGUCACCAGUUUAGGAUCAGUAGCAGACCAUGGACAAUUUUGGUCUAAUGAAUAAAGCAAAGGUACCAGGGUAAAACAAAUCAGAUGAGGAAUGUUACACGCAUGAGUACUCACCCAUGAGAGCAGGACAAUAUGUCCUGUUGGAAUUGCUGCAUGUUCAUCGGCACACAGUCAGUCAACAACUCGAGGAGCACGACAAUGUGUGCACUUCACAAAAAUCACCACCUUCUCAUCCUAGUGCCACACAUGAAUCCAGCACAAACUGGUAGAAAUUAAAAUAAGUAGCAUGCGCAAAUGUCCUGGAUUCUUAGUCCGAUUUUUAACUUGUUAUCUCGAAGUUCCAGCAGAAGAUUUUUUAAUGAAUAUCUGUCGAUUGAGCAUUGUGUUUUCAAACUAGAUAAGAUUUUGUUCAUAGGCGCAUCUUAUAUCCAAUGGCAUUGAGUGUGGGUGGCUGGACCAUGGUCUUGAAUCUCCUCUCUCUAUUUUGAGUUAUGAUAAGCUGAUAGUGCAUUGGCAUGCUACUGUGUACCUCUUUGCCCUCUCCAUUCACAUGUUUCUUUUGGUCGGAUUGCUUGGUUCUGCGACCCAAAUUGCAGAGGAGACGUCCACAACUUGUACUGCUUGGUUUCCCUGUCCAAGACUCAAAUCUUGUCCUAGGAAGUAUGCAAGCACAGGAGAAGAAGCUUGUCAAUUUUUUUUGGAACAUGCCAAAGGGGCAAAGAAUAGUUGUAAAAUGCAAUGAAGAAAGCUAGCCUUUUGGAACAAGCUUGCCAAUUGUUUGGAACAUGCCAAAGGGAAUAAUGGAGUAGAAGAUGAAAAUCUCCAAUCAAAUCAUACUGGCAUUUCUCGGUUACAAAUACUACAUGGUAAAACAAAGAGAAUCCAAUGCAAUGGACCUGUUGAGGCACGCUUGUCUAUGAAACAUGAAAUUUCUGAGGCUAAUAAUCUGUCGCAUUCAUGCCAAAAAGUUAUGUCUAGACUUACUCUCACUCAUGUCACAAAGAUAGAAUAUAAAAAUAUUAAUUGCUUACCAUUGUUGUGUCAUGGAACCAGGAUGGCGAGCAUGAUGAUGUCGGUCAGUUACAAAUUCAACAAAAAGUCAUCGUCGCCACAAGACCUUGUUAUUGAUUAUGUGCAAAAGGCAAGGGAAAUGAGGGAUCGCGCAGUUGAAUAUUUUUCAAGACUAGACAAGCAGGGGACUAGAACUGAACGCCCACAUCCAGUUCGCUAAAAAAAGGCGUACUUCUUCAAUCAAGGACAAUUGGUGAAGCUUUCUCUUCAGGAUACCUAAUUGCUUGGCCUUCAACUUUUAUUUGAAACAAGGAUAAUUGACUUGCAGCUGAAUACUUCGGUUGGAACAGGAAGCAAAUAAAAUUUGAAGAUUUUACUUCCCAAUAGUUGUAGUUUACAUUGAUAGAUUGAAAAAUGUAAUAUUAUUCAAAAGAUCUUUUUCUUUGGUCGAAUUUAUGCAAAUGCUAUGGUGUAAUAUUCUCCAUACUUGUGUUUUCUAUAGUUAAAUUGAUAUAAAUGAUAUGCUGUUGCACCUAAGAAUAUUUGUAUUUAUUUAUUGUAAUGCAUAAGUAUAAUACAC
Triticum aestivum (bread wheat) is the source of this 4248-nucleotide long non-coding RNA. RefSeq lists it as uncharacterized. The record is from RefSeq and is a predicted model, not a curated record. NCBI's taxonomy places the organism in Eukaryota, Viridiplantae, Streptophyta, Magnoliopsida, Poales, Poaceae. The transcript is spliced from 7 exons.